CAAUAAAAGGCAAACAAAGGGCUAGCAAAAGGUACUUCUAUGUUUUGUUAAAACCUUUUAUAAGCCUUUCAUUUAGCAAAAUACUAACAAAAGACUAUUAAGGAUUUUGUGAGUAAUACAUUUUAUUUACCUUUUGUUUCAGAUACUGCCUUUUAUUAAUGUUUCAUUACACUUAUAGUUUGAAAUUUACCUUUUAUUAGCAUUGGAUUGGACUUAUAUUCUUAAAUGUUGCCAUUUGUUUGUAUUUCAUUCCACUUAGAAUCAACACGUACAUAUUUUGUUUGUAUUUCAUUACACUUGCUUUCAAAAACAAGGAGUUUUGUUCAUAUUUCAAUACAUUUGUAGGUUUGAAGGACUUGUUUCACAAAAUCUAGCAUAAACAAAUUAGUUUCAUAUUUCAUUGAUAUUGGCUUAAUACUGCUGCUGUUGUUUUGAAUUUAGAGCUACAUCUACCAUUCACUAUGUUCUUCAUAUACAUAAUUACACUUCUGACGAUUGCAAAGGUUUGUCAGUAAGUAAAUGGCUACUGAGCACUUGCAAAUGCAUAAUAUUCUUUAUCAUACAUAAUCAGCUUUAAGAGAGAUAAUCUGUAAACAGAGACCACUUAAAAUAAUAAUUAAAACUUCUCCUGAAAAAACAAUUCCAAUGUUUUUCUCAUUCCAUAGAAUUCCUUAGAAUUUUUUAAGAUAAUGCAAAGUUUUCCUAGUAAGAUUUUUUUUUAUUUAAAUUGCAGCAAAGAUUACAUUGAAAAUCUUAAGAUUUGUUUGGAUUAUACUAGGUAUCCAAAUUAAUUGAAAUGAAACAAGGAAUCUAACUAAUUAAAAUUUAUGUCAAUGUUUUCAUUUUGUAUAUUAAAAGGAUGUUAAUUAGAAUUCUAUCAUUUAUUUAUAAUUAAUAUAACAAGAUAUAUCAUUGAAAACAGGGUCCUAUUUAUAAAUUAUAUAAGCUAUUUAUUUUUUGGUUAUUGAACACCUCAAACAACAGCACCAGAUAAUAGGCAUUAAAAGUCAUGUCAUAAGUACAACAAAUUGUAAAUGAUAUUAUGCUUUUGAUAUAAUGUUACAUCCUCAUAAAUAAAUUAGUCUAUUCUUUUGAUGAUUGGCAAUGAUUAAUUAUCCUGCUUUUACAGCCACUUCAUUUACUGCUGUUCAAUGUAUACACAUGUGUUAAGGAGGUAGGUUACCUUUAUAUUUGUAUGUGCGCAUGUCCAACCGGAAGCUAACGUGACGAUUUACGACGACGUUUACGACAAACUAAAUGUGUUUGUAUAUUCAUUCUUCAGAAAAUAAAUCAUAGACCUGUCUUCGAUCUGACGCUUUAUGGUUUAAUAAUGCAGAAAUAAUGAAUAAAUUGCCGCAGAAACGCUUCAAAACAAUGUUGCCUUAAAAUGACGUCAUUGACGUCAUGACGUUACGUGUCAGUUACCUCGCAAAAUAAUAGCUUUUUUCUUGAAAGUACGUAAUUCUGUGCAUUUUCUUUAUUCAAACUAUUUUCAAAUAACCAUUUUUUGCAGAAAUAUUUUUCAUGAGUCUUUUGCUCUGAAUAAUAAUCAAUAUUUUGCUUCUUUUAUGUAGUUAUAUUGAAAUGUUAUGCGGAAUGUAAGAAAAUGGAUGAUGGUAACCAAUGUUAUUUGGAAUAUAGCUGGGUGAGAGGUUACUUGUUACGGCCAUUUUCAAAUAUAAAAUCUAGCAGUUUGAUUUGUAAUACCUAUUUUUCAGGUUCCGUUGAUAAUUUGUUACUUAUAUACUAAAACUAAGAUCUAAAAUUGUUCAAAUUUCAGUAGAAAAUUGUGGUUUCUUGAAUCGAAUUGAUGUUACCAUGGAAACGAAGCCCGUGACCUAUGUAUCUAAAUGUAAAAUUCAAAAGCGUUGACACUAGUCUAUUUAAGAAACACAGCUUCGGCUUUUUAUUUUCAUUUCAACAAUAUCUAUGAGAAUAAUAGUAGCAUGCUGAACGAUUCUUCCAUGAAAAAUGCCAGACGAGGGGUACUGCUGUAAGUAUUCUAAGCUUAGAAAUUUGUUUGAAAAAUGCAGAUAACACGAAAAUAUAACUUACGUUAGAAAUAAUAUGUUUUAAAGCUACAUCAACUAGAAAGAUAAUCUUAUUCAAUAUUAUUUUAUAAGAAAUUACGACAAAAAAAAGAUAUAAGUCAUUUUAAACAUCUCUGUUGCCAUGGUUACUUUAAUCUUUAAGAAAAAUAGGGUACCAUGUAUAGUGCUUGGUAUUUUGCUAAUAAUAUUACCCAAAUAUUCCAUGUUGGUCAUUAACAGAAUGGCACUGAAGCCGUCGAAAACCCCUAUUUUUAUACAUAAUUGUUUAAAAAUGAGAGAAAAUGCGUUACCAUGGAAACACGAGCCCCGCGACAUAUACAUUUUAAGCUUAUAUUAGAAAGCUAACGUGCAAACUAGUAAAAUUAUAGAUUAUGCUGACUUCUACGGAUAUCAAUGAAACUAAAACACACUGAAAAGUGUUAAAUAUCCGUAUUUUCCUUCUUCUUUCUAUAUAAAAUACAUUUGGAGGGUCAUGUACUUCAAACCUGGAUAAAAACUGAACUUGAAGGGACAGAGACAAACGAAACUGAGACUUUAGCAGUUAAAAUACAAAAAGAUGCCGCGGUUCAACUAAUUUGAAUUUACCCUUGUAACAAGGUAACCUACCUCCUUAACACACAAAGAUACGGCUUAUCUGAUCAAGAUAAGGACCAAUGAAAAUACAGGCUUCUGAACCGUUUUACACCUGUACACCAAAAAAUAAUCCCCAUCUUUCUGCUUGUUUUUUCUCUGAGAUCUUUGCAAAUGCUGUGAGCAAAUAAAUGGUCAAAUUUUCCCAUGAACUGUAUACUUAUAUAUUUUUAAGAACAUAGAUAUUCCCUUCAGUAACUAUAUAUUGUACCAAAGAAAAUGGCUCAUGAAUACAAAAAUUUGAAUGUAAACAGGAAGUUCAUUGUUCAUGUUGUUGGAGGCAAAUGGAAUAAAGCUAACUUGAAACUCUAAAAUGCUUUUAGAGAGAUAUCAGAUGAAAGAGUGUGCAUAUAUCUAGUUAUCAGAGGUAUAUGCCUAUAUGUAUGAAUUGAUGUAGUUGGAGAAAUCAGAUUGCUUCAGUGCAUGACUAUGCUACAGGAUGAUACAAGAUCACAGACAGAAAUUUGAUCAAGGAUCAAACAUAAAUUACAUAAUACUUCAACUAAAUUAAAUGCAUGGCUGGAAUGAAGUUCCUGACCCUGGUGAUGAUUUUGGAAAAGCAAAGAGACAUUCUGAUGCCACCUUGUAUUGAGCCUGCAAUACUCCAAAAUGAUUUUGUUGUAUUCAUAAUUUUCUAUCAAAUAAUCUUUUAGUUUAAUUUUCAAAUUUAAGCUAAGUGAAUUUUUAUUAUUUUUAACCAGAAGUGUAAAAGCCGCUGGCAGAUGUGUUAUUCCCCUUUGAAUUUUAUUCUUUUUGUUUUUUAUGAAACCCAGAUCUGUCUCAACAUUAGAUUAAAAUAAUUUUGUAAUGAUACUAUUUCUUCUUUUUUUGUUUUGUGUCAAUAUCAGCAAUGUUUUCCAUUGGUUUUCCAUCAAACCUUUCCAAACUCUUGCAAAGAAUUCUUCUAAAAAAUUCCUUCAACUUUAAUGCGAUGAUUUCCAAUGUUCAAAGAGUUCCAUGGACUUUCAACUGCAUUUUCACAGGGCUGCUCCCAUGGGUAUGUGAGUUUAGAUUUAAAUUAAUUUUCAGACUUUUUUUCAUGCCGUUUUUCCAAACUUUUCCAUGGAACAUGUACAGACGGGUGUUUUUGUGACAUAAACACUUUCUAGUUUUAGUUUAUGUUUGGGAUCAUGCAAGAUAUCUGGACAGUUUUUUUUAAAUUCAAAAUCAAGAAUUUAUUUAAUUCUGCAAAACAAACAUUUUGGUUAUAAUAUCUUUCAGUAUUUGUUCAUUGCUGUGAAAUUGAUAAUUGCAUGCAUUUAAAUAACUUUUUACAUUAUUCUUUGGAUCAUAAAUAUAUGUAUAAAAAUGUAUAUAUUGAUUUGUCAAUAGUGUUUGAUUAAUGUGUUCUUACGAAAACUUAAAUAAAAGGCAAUUGAGGAUAUACCUUUUAUUUAUGUUUUGAUAAAAGGUCUCUCUGCCUUUUAUUCAUAUUUUGUUUCCUAUAUUUUAUUUGCAGUUUGUUUCUCAUAUAUAAUGAAUGUGAAUGCCUUUUGUUAGUAUUUUGUUACUACCUUUUAUUCAUGUUUUGUUUCUUUGAAACAAAAUAUUAAUAAAAGGUCUCUCUGCCUUUUAUUCAUAUUUUGUUCCCUAUAUUUUAUUUGCAAUUUGUUUCUCAUGUAAUGAAUGUGAAUGCCUUUUGUUAGUAUUUUGUUACUACCUUUUAUUCAUGUUUUAUUUGCCUUUUGUUAUCUCAUUUGCAUAUCAUUUGCUAGGCUAAUAAAAGGUCUUCAAAACAUAACAUUUUAUUUGCCUUUUGUUUCAGCCUUUUGUUACCCAUUUUUU
Long non-coding RNA from Mercenaria mercenaria, 4466 nucleotides. RefSeq lists it as uncharacterized. The transcript has 3 exons. The record is from RefSeq and is a predicted model, not a curated record. NCBI's taxonomy places the organism in Eukaryota, Metazoa, Mollusca, Bivalvia, Venerida, Veneridae.